GACGAACGCUGGCGGCGUGCCUAAUACAUGCAAGUUGAGCGCUGAAGGUUGGUACUUUUCCCAAUUGAAUGACCAUUGACCGGUUGAUUACCCCUUGGGGAUCUUGCCUUUGACCGGGGGCCACCUUUUGAAACCGAUUCUUAUUACCCCUUAAAACUUUUAAACAAAAUUUUUAAGUUUGAAAAUUCCAUUUGCUUCACCCAAGGAUAAUCCCGCGUUGUAUUAGUUAGUUGUUGAGGUAAAGGCUCACCAAGGCGAUGAUACAUAGCCGACCUGAGAGGGUGAUCGGCCACAUUGGGACUGAGACACGGCCCAAACUCCUACGGGAGGCAGCAGUAGGGAAUCUUCGGCAAUGGACGAAAGUCUGACCGAGCAACGCCGCGUGAGUGAAGAAGGUUUUCGGAUCGUAAAACUCUGUUGGUAGGGAAGAACGUUGGUGAGAGUGGAAAGCUCAUCAAGUGACGGUAACUACCCAGAAAGGGACGGCUAACUACGUG
Molecule: ribosomal RNA, 497 nt
Filed under: uncultured bacterium
Lineage: Bacteria
Description: partial 16S ribosomal RNA
Rfam family: Bacterial small subunit ribosomal RNA
Source: RNAcentral